RNAcentral lists this ribosomal RNA (253 nucleotides) under uncultured bacterium. RNAcentral describes it as "partial 16S ribosomal RNA". It matches the Rfam family "Bacterial small subunit ribosomal RNA", at positions 524 to 776 of the family's 1533-position model. The record is from RNAcentral.
UACGUAGGUGGCAAGCGUUGUCCGGAUUUAUUGGGUUUAAAGGGUGCGUAGGCGGGCAGGUAAGUCCGUGGUGAAAUCUCCGAGCUUAACUCGGAAAUUGCCGUGGAUACUAUCUGUCUUGAAUGCUGUGGAGGUGAGCGGAAUAUGUCAUGUAGCGGUGAAAUGCUUAGAUAUGUCAUAGAACACCAAUUGCGAAGGCAGCUCACUACACAGCGAUUGACGCUGAGGCACGAAAGCGUGGGGAUCAAACAGG